CAGGCGUGCGGGCUGGCGGACGUCAUCCACAAGCUUUGUGCGGAGCAUUUCUUCUUCGUGCAUGGAGGGAUAUGUUGAUGUAACUUGGCACAAAUGUUUGCCAUCAUGAAAUGGAGUGUCAUAGGCAAGAACCAGGUCCCUAGGUCUAAGAUCAAGGUCACACUUAGAGGUCAAAGGUCAAAUUGAAGAAUAACUUUGUCCAAGCAUGGAGCAUUUCUUCUUCAUUCUUGGAGGGAUUUUGAUGUAGCUUGGCACAAAUGUAAACUAGCAGACAGUGGAUCUCUCAGUUCUGGGUCAAAAGAGACAAAUGUAAACUAGCAGACAGUGGAUCUCUCAAUUAUUGAUGAGAAGGGUAUUACAACAUCUACAUUCAGGAAAACCUGGCCUUGAUAACAUGUUUAAGUCUUUCAUCUAAGAUCAUAUCACCAGUUGCAAUCCAGAACCUAGAUUUCAGCACCACUAAAUAGUAAAUUCGUAGGCCAUAAGUUUUACGUCCAGGAUCCCUCUUCAGCGGAAAAUUUAUCAGACAAUGAUUGUACUGCUGUACCUGGAUCUCAAGACAUUUACAUAACGGUAACUUAGUCUUUACAUUCAACCAGUUCUACUGGACUAGUAGACACAGACUGAUGAAAGUACUAAGGUUUGGACCAUAGACAGUAUAUUACUAACUGGAUCCAAGUUCAACUGAAAUGUAACUAAGCUUGCAGACCAACUGUUGUACACAACUAUUUGCAUACAAGCUCCUAUGAAAUUUUCUGUAAUGUUUAAAACAAUAUGAGUCUGAUUUAGAAUAAUAAGCCUCAAAGUGAAAUUUUAUUUUAAUAAAGAAGUUGAGAUUUUAAAACCAGGACAUGUAGAAUCACCUGUAUUGAUUAGCGACUUGUACAAUUCUUUUGUUUAUGAGAAUGUUUAUGUUUUUAAAUUUGAACCUAAGGUGGAAGCAAUCAGAUUUAAUUAUGAUGUGCACAAAUUGUUAAGUUUUUUUUACCUGGUAUCAGUACAAAGUGGACAAGAUAAACUCAUAACAGCUCGUCUUAUCAUAAAUAACACAUAUACUGACAAGAUAUGAAAACGAACAAGCGCAUGCUGAAUAUAUUUUUUUUUUCUACCAAAAGUAUCACAUUGUAAUGUUAACACAGACAGAUAUUCUAUACUCAUUGUUUUCAAAUUUAAUAAGCACAACAGAUCAUAAAACGAACACAAUGGGAAUAGUGUCAGUUUGUGUUGAACAAUUAAAGGUGAUACUUUUUUUAUUAAAAAUAUAUUCAAGCAUAUGUUUGUUGCGUUUUCAUAUCUUGUCAGUGUAUUGUCGUAAAUGUACAUGUCAUGUCAUGUCAUAUGUCUUUCAUUCCGUCAUUUCAUAUACUGCCAUUAGUUUGUUCAUGACUAUCAAUACUCAGGAAAUCACAUUCAGUAUGCUGUACAUAAAAUGGCUUUCAUAUAAUUCUUUUUGUACAUAGCAUAGACAAUACAUUUUUAAUUGACAUGUUAGUAUACUGUCUAUAUGUAGCAUUUCCAUUGUCACUUAAUUGAUGCCUAGUAUUUCGUUACAAUACUCGGGGAAUACACAUUUGUCAUACUAUCAUAUACCUGUUUGGAUUACUAGCACAGCUUUAGGUUUGGAGAAAAGAAUUGUGCUAACAGAAGUGUAAAUAUGUGUUCCUACUUUUAUUAUCUAGUUCUUGUUUGUUUUGAAUAUGUUUCCCGUAUUGUUUGGUACAUAAACAUACAUUGUUUCAGUAGAAUUUACAUGUAAAUAGGUUGUUGAAUUUUGACAGAAUUAUGCCCUUUUUUAACUUAGAUUUUUGUUAAAGUUUUUUGAUAAAGUCAAAUAUCUGUUACUAUCAAAGCUUUUGACUUAAAACUUAAAAUACUUAUUUACCAUCAAAGUCUACACCAGAAGAAACAAUCCCCGUAACUCUGGUUGAAUUUUGACAGAAUUAUGUCCCUUUUGAACUUAGAAUUUUUUUUUAAAUUAUUGAUAAUUUAAAGUCAAAUAUCUCAGUGUACUAUUAAAGCUUUUGACUAGAAACUCUAAAUACUUAUUUACUAUCUAAGUCUUCACCAGGAGACACAAUUGCCAUAACUCUGAUUUGAAUUUUGACAGAGUUGUGUCCUUUUUUAACUUGGAUUUUUUUACUGGCAAAGCUCUAAUUCAGAGACAAGCACUGAGAAAAUCUGAGCGUGCUGUCUUAUGGACAGCUCUUGUUUGUAUACAUAUUCUGCUGACACAUGUGUACAGUUAUACAUAUUGCACGGACUAUAGUAUACAAUAUCAUUUUCCCCUGACUGAAAUGAUUUAAACUUCCAUCAAAAAAUUAUACUCUUCUAAAUUUUGAUGUUGGAAAUUAUUUGGUUUUCUUCAUAUAUGCAUUUUUAUUUGUAAUACUGUUUGAACACAGUUGUAAGUGCUCUCAGUAACGUAUGGGGCCUUUGCAGACGAGUGGUUAAGGAGGACGACUUCGAGUCACUUGCACCUCACUUCUUAUAGUUUGAAAUGGAAGGUCAGUUGUUCUACCGAGAUACUAGCCCAUGCCUAAAAAUGCAGGGAGGACACUUUGGGUCUGCCCCACCAUCAAAAGCUGAGAAGUUGCUAUAUGACAUAAUUGUGUCUGUUGGAGGUUAAACAUAAUAAAUUGGUAGAAUAUACUCUGCCAUAUAUCCAUUUGCCCUCUGCCAUUUCAAAAGUAUUUGGAUUUGCUUACUUGUCAAGCUUGUAAAUAUGUAUAUAAACAUAAUAAUUUUUUUGCCAAGGUUGUGAAUAUAAAUGGGCAGCAGUAUUUAAAGUUUUGUUUUCUAUGUGUAAUUUGUGUACAUGUACAUUUAAGUGUUUACCACUGAAGUAACAGAAUUUUAUGUUACAGCUUAGUCUUUAGAAUAUAUAGUGUAGUAAAAUAAGUCAAACUAAAGAGCUAUAUGCAAUUUAGUAACUGUUACAUAGUUAAAUUUCUGUUUGUAUAUAAUUUCAUUCUGUUAUGCUUUGAUGUUAAAAUUGUAUAUUAUUUUUGUCUUCAUUCAAACAAUGAUUAUGUUUGAAAUGUUAUAUGGAAUUUGUUAAAUGAAUUCGGUAUAUGCUUAGUCUAAGAGCAUAAGAAGAAAAAUAGCCACUGGAGUAGAAUGUAGCUCUCUAACUCGUAUAUUUUCUGUUCAGUAAGGUAAAUUAUAAGCAAAACCACCUAUACAGAGCAGCAGCUUCUCCAAAUUAGAUUUUAUUCACUAUAAAAGAUACAGUAGUCCCACUGUUCAUUUAUCUAAUUAGCAACACUGUAUUUAAUUUAAUGUUGCCUGAAUGCUCUUAUGUAACUAUCUUUUAGGAAGAAACCAGUCAAAAUCAUGACUACUAUAUUUAGUAACAAUUUUCUAGUUCUGAAAGUAGAGAAAACCCGUAAGUUGAUAUCCAAAACAAAAAGUUUCCCUACCGCAUUAGAAAGAUAUGAAUGUAAAUCAGCAUAUGCCGGAGCAUAGAUAUUUCAUAUCAAAAUCCUGUUAGCCAUAUGAGUUACGUUUGCCCGUGAGACACUGCACUGUACACUUGUUGAUAAAUUUGCUAGAAAAUA
Long non-coding RNA from Mercenaria mercenaria, 3557 nucleotides. RefSeq lists it as uncharacterized. Lineage: Eukaryota; Metazoa; Mollusca; Bivalvia; Venerida; Veneridae. The transcript is spliced from 2 exons. The record is from RefSeq and is a predicted model, not a curated record.